GCCAGGCAUGGUGGUGUGUGCCUGUAGUCCCAGCUACUUGGGAGGCUGAGAGAGGAGGAUCACUUGAGCCCAGGAGUUCAAGGCUGCAGUGAGCUCUGAUCGAUCAUGCCACUGCACUCCAGCCUGGGGGACAGAGUGAGACCCUGUCUCCA
Pan troglodytes (chimpanzee) is the source of this 152-nucleotide non-coding RNA. It matches the Rfam family "Metazoan signal recognition particle RNA". Rfam says of the family: The signal recognition particle (SRP) is a universally conserved ribonucleoprotein. Lineage: Eukaryota; Metazoa; Chordata; Mammalia; Primates; Hominidae. The record is from Rfam.